RNAcentral lists this ribosomal RNA (384 nucleotides) under uncultured fungus. Its description in RNAcentral is "partial small subunit ribosomal RNA". It matches the Rfam family "Eukaryotic small subunit ribosomal RNA", at positions 30 to 432 of the family's 1831-position model. The record is from RNAcentral. Lineage: Eukaryota; Fungi.
GCUUGUCUCAAAGAUUAAGCCAUGCAAAGGAACGUUCAACCCCAUUUGGGGAAGACGCUGGCCGGCUCAUUAAAUCAGUCAUAGUUCAUUCGACAGAUCACUCUACAUGGAUAACCGUAGUAAUUCUAGAGCUAAUACAUGCAUCAAGCCCUGACUUCGGAAGGGGUGUAUUUAUUAGAUGGAAACCAAUGCGGGGCAACCCGGAAUAUGGUGAUUCAUAAUAACUUUCGGAUCGUUUACGAUGCAUCAUUCAAGUUUCUGCCCUAUCAGCUUUGGAUGGUAGGGUAUUGGCCUACCAUGGCUUUAACGGGUAACGGAGAAUUAGGGUUCGAUUCCGGAGAGGGAGCCUGAGAAAUGGCUACCACAUCCAAGGAAGGCAGCAGG